RNAcentral lists this ribosomal RNA (254 nucleotides) under uncultured bacterium. Its description in RNAcentral is "partial 16S ribosomal RNA". It matches the Rfam family "Bacterial small subunit ribosomal RNA", at positions 524 to 776 of the family's 1533-position model. The record is from RNAcentral.
UACAUGGGGUGCAAACGUUGCUCGGAAUUAUUGGGCGUAAAGCGCACGUAGGUGGUCUGUUAUGUCAGAUGUGAAAGCCCUCGGCUUAACUGAGGAAGUGCACCUGAAACUGGCAGGCUUGAGUACGAAAGAGGGUCGCGGAAUUCCCGGGUGUAGAGGUGAAAUUCGUAGAUAUCGGGAGGAACACCGGUGGCGAAGGCGGCGACCUGGGUAGAUACUGACGCUGAGGUGCGAAAGCGUGGGGAGCAAACAGG